UUCCUGUUGGUCCAGUGGUUAAGAAUCCAGCUUCCAAAGCAGGGGACUCAGGUUCAAUCCCUGGUCGGGGAA
This 72-nucleotide transfer RNA is filed under the name Ovis aries (sheep). It matches the Rfam family "tRNA". From Rfam's summary of the family: Transfer RNA (tRNA) molecules are approximately 80 nucleotides in length. Their secondary structure includes four short double-helical elements and three loops (D, anti-codon, and T loops). The record is from Rfam by way of RNAcentral. Lineage: Eukaryota; Metazoa; Chordata; Mammalia; Artiodactyla; Bovidae.